RNAcentral lists this ribosomal RNA (413 nucleotides) under uncultured bacterium. RNAcentral's name for it is "bacterial SSU rRNA". It matches the Rfam family "Bacterial small subunit ribosomal RNA", at positions 29 to 489 of the family's 1533-position model. The record is from RNAcentral.
AACGAACGCUGGCGGCAUGCCUAACACAUGCAAGUCGAACGAGACCUUCGGGUCUAGUGGCGCACGGGUGCGUAACACGUGGGAAUCUGCCCUUGGGUUCGGAAUAACAGUUAGAAAUGACUGCUAAUACCGGAUGAUGUCUUCGGACCAAAGAUUUAUCGCCCAAGGAUGAGCCCGCGUAAGAUUAGCUAGUUGGUGAGGUAAUGGCUCACCAAGGCGACGAUCUAGCUGGUCUGAGAGGAUGAUCAGCCACACUGGGACUGAGACACGGCCCAGACUCCUACGGGAGGCAGCAGUGGGGAAUAUUGGACAAUGGGCGAAAGCCUGAUCCAGCAAUGCCGCGUGAGUGAUGAAGGCCUUAGGGUUGUAAAGCUCUUUUACCAGGGAUGAUAAUGACAGUACCUGGAGAAUAA